AUGUUUGGCCGGUCCAGUCCUCCUCUACGGAGAAAAGGAAGUACACAUGUGCGCCUCGGCUUGACGGCCCACGUACGGAAAUCCGUGCUGCACCAAGUACGGAUCUAUGUACGCGCUUUAUUUCGUUUCGUUCCCAUUCUUCAUUUCCUUAUUAUCGAAUCCAUGGGGGACUUGUCAUAUUUAGAAUCUUUCUGCGGUCUGCUCUAUUUAAAAUUCUUUCGUACUCUCUUCUCUUUACCAUGCGAUAGGUCAGCGAAGCGUGAGCGGGCGCUCCGAAGUAAAGGCCAAACACCUCGGCCUAAGGGGAAUGACCAACAAAAUGACAAGAUGAAGUGCCCCGGGCACCCCCAUAUAGAAAGAAGGGUCGAAGGUUUUGGGGCUUCCCUCCCUCCUCCCCCCUCGUCGAGUGGUGCUUGUUUGGGGGGUGUGCCACCAGAAAGCGGGCUUGAAGCUCUCGCCUUACCAACGAGCCGACUGCUCAUGGCUGUUGGUCACGACUACUACAAAAAAGUGAACAUGAAUCUUUCUAUUUCACAUGGAGGAGUGUGUAUGUCAAACGGAUUUACACGGGCCAUGAAUCAAACUUUUCUUUCAUGA
RNAcentral lists this ribosomal RNA (597 nucleotides) under Triticum aestivum (bread wheat). RNAcentral's name for it is "partial small subunit ribosomal RNA". The record is from RNAcentral. Lineage: Eukaryota; Viridiplantae; Streptophyta; Magnoliopsida; Poales; Poaceae.